CAAACGUAUACAAAGUGUUCUAUUCUAUAUAUAAUAUAUUAUUAAUAAAAUAAUUAUUGAAUUUAGUAAUAAAGAAUAUGGAAAUAUCAGCAGCACUUUUGAAAUAACAAUACUUCUCGCCAUUUUAAUAAAGAAGCGCCAUUAAGGUGGGGUGAGCUAAAACGGCAAAUCAAAUUCAUUUUUUAAAAAGUAAUGUUGCCAUUUUUAGCGAUUUUUCCAAAAAACGCUAAAAUGUCAACAUCACUUAUUAAAAGUUUUUCUUUUCUUUUUUGCUAAAUUAUCAUUCCCAGAAGCUGUGUAGAUUGAAAAAUUUACAAUUUGUUUAUGAAUUAAAAUUUGGCUCUUUGUAAUCCUUUUCAUUUGUUUAUUGUUUACUUUGCUUUUUAACCACUGGUUGAAAGGCAAAGUAAACAAUAAAUAAAUUGGAUUAGCUGUGAAGAUUAAGAAUGACAAUUGAUGAAUCCUGAAAAUACUAGAGAAGUGGAUCCGGAAUCCAGAGGUUUCUAAGCGGAGGCAUAUUCCAAUGAUCAUCAUAUUCCGCACAUCUGGUCAGAUCAAGCAUAUAGAUUAAACACUAAUAAAAAUUCAGAAGUGUAAAACAUUCGCUUACCAUCACAACAGAGUUUUAUGUAAUGACUGAAUGGCCAUGGUGGAAGCAGUUUGUGUUUCUAUCAUGGUGGAUCCGAAUCCGAUUCCUGGAUCCUAUAUCUCCAAAGAUUUUUCAAGAGGAUCUAGGCCCGAUUCAGUUGAACUCCAUUCUCCACCUGAUAGUUAGUCUCAUCAAAGAUAUGGCAGCCUAUAUGGUAAUAAGAAGCGAGCAUUUCAGCAUUUCGGAAUGGUGGGCUGCAUAAUAUUUAAUGAUGGAAAAUGGCGUAAGCCAUAUACAUAAAAAGCACUUUUUCCUUUAUUAACAUGUUUAAUUUCGAAUAUAUUAAUGAAAAUGUGUUAGUGACUGAAAGAAAAUCACAAGAUAUUGUACAAACAAUAUAUUAUUUAUAAAUCGUUAACUCAAAAAUAACUCGAAUAUUAAUACGAAGCACUUUCAAGAUAAACUACAAAAUAAAUUCAAUAACUUAAAAUUACUAAUGUAGAAUAUUAGAAAAAAUAAAUUAAAUGUUUCGAGC
This 1124-nucleotide long non-coding RNA is filed under the name Androctonus crassicauda. Lineage: Eukaryota; Metazoa; Arthropoda; Arachnida; Scorpiones; Buthidae. The record is from RNAcentral.